Molecule: ribosomal RNA, 253 nt
Filed under: uncultured bacterium
Lineage: Bacteria
Description: partial 16S ribosomal RNA
Rfam family: Bacterial small subunit ribosomal RNA
Source: RNAcentral
UACGUAGGGUGCAAGCGUUAAUCGGAAUUACUGGGCGUAAAGCGUGCGCAGGCGGUUAUGCAAGACAGAUGUGAAAUGCCCGGGCUUAACCUGGGAACUGCAUUUGUGACUGCAUGGCUAGAGUUUGGCAGAGGGGGGUAGAAUUCCACGUGUAGCAGUGAAAUGCGUAGAUAUGUGGAGGAACACCGAUGGCGAAGGCAGCCCCCUGGGUCAAGAUUGACGCUCAUGCACGAAAGCGUGGGGAGCAAACAGG